This is a non-coding RNA of Tetranychus urticae (two-spotted spider mite), 292 nucleotides long. The record is from RefSeq and is a predicted model, not a curated record. Lineage: Eukaryota; Metazoa; Arthropoda; Arachnida; Trombidiformes; Tetranychidae.
GCAAUCAUAAAUAAUCCAAGUUUUUGUAUCAAAGUUACAUUUACUCAUGUUUCUAAUUUUUCCCCUCAUUUUCAAUUGCAUUUCUCAGGACAACUAAAGAUUGACAAAAGAUCAUGAAAAACAGUUAAACACUUAACACCAUUGAACAGCAAAUGAAUUGAAAGCAACGAAAUGAAAAAACAUGAAACAAUCAAAAGGCCUUCAUUAUCAUCUACUUAAUGAUAAUUCUGACUUUUCAAAUAAUUUCACAUGGAUUCACCGAUCAAUAAAAGGCGCGGAAGGAACCAUUUAA